UAGUCAUAUGCUUGUCUCAAAGAUUAAGCCAUGCAUGUCUCAGUGUAAACUUUUAAACAGUGAAACUGCGAAUGGCUCAUUAAAACAGUCAUAAUUUAUGUGAAACUCUUUCUACAUGGAUAACCGUGGGAAUUCUAGGGCUAAUACAUGCGUACCCGCAAGGGUUGUGUUUAUUAGAUUAAAACCAUCACUGUAGCAAUACAGUUUCGUUGGAAUGAUAAUAACCGAUCGAAUCGCACGCGCAAGUGGCGAUAAUUCAUUCGAGUUUCUGACCUAU
Molecule: ribosomal RNA, 277 nt
Filed under: uncultured eukaryote
Lineage: Eukaryota
Description: partial 18S ribosomal RNA
Rfam family: Eukaryotic small subunit ribosomal RNA
Source: RNAcentral